Molecule: non-coding RNA, 793 nt
Organism: Punica granatum (pomegranate)
Lineage: Eukaryota; Viridiplantae; Streptophyta; Magnoliopsida; Myrtales; Lythraceae
Source: RefSeq, a predicted model, not a curated record
CGAAACCAGACCUCUCCCUGUUACUCAUCCCCUUUCAUUCACCGGCUUCAACUCCCCAUUCGCCGGAUACCCGUGCAGUAGCCAGCACGAGCUUUUGAUGUGUCCCACAUGUCUACAAUGGCAACAGGUCUUGCUCGUUACUCCCGAGCCUCUUCCGCCUCCCUGUCCACCGAAAGAUUGAGUGCUGCUGCUUCCCUGUUUCUCCUGUUUAAAACCCGAAAGCUUGCUCAAGAACACUGCUCCUUCUGGAGCAGUAUUUUCGUGCGAUAAAGUCACGAUAUUCUGCCUCUCCUCGUGCAAAAUCAUCGCAUAGACUUUAUUUAUGGAAUGAGCCAACUCGUGGCUAAGGAUGUUGGACCUCACUGUGAAUUCGGACCCUAGACCCAUCAGAAAUUGAUGGGUUUUCUCCCUUUCUGUUUGUGCUACGUACAGUCUGGUGGCAGAGCAUGUGCAUGCCGGUAUCUCCAGAUCUUUCCCAUAGGUUUUCCCACAAUGCCUGAGCCACUAUUGCGCAGGCCACAUUGGAUUGAAGUUUCGAUUCCAGUGUGUUGAAUAUCCAGGAAAUCACCAAAGCGUUGCAAACAUCCCACCUUGCUUGGUUUGGAUCACCCUCCGAUGGCCUUGGCACCGUGCUAUCAAUUAUUCCUACCUUGUUCUUUGCCGUCAAUGCAGUGAGCAUAGCCCUCGACUAGGUGAGAUAAUUUGACCCAUUUAGCUUGUAAUUGAUCAAACUCGGACUUGUGUAGUCUGAUGGAUUGACAAUAUAAAUCGAAAAAGAAUCAUGUUCGACACC